UCCCUGGUGGUCCAGUGGCUAAGACUCCGCUCUCCCAAUGCAGGUUCGAAUCCAGGUUCAAUCCCUGGUCAGAGAA
RNAcentral lists this transfer RNA (76 nucleotides) under Bos taurus (domestic cattle). It matches the Rfam family "tRNA". From Rfam's summary of the family: Transfer RNA (tRNA) molecules are approximately 80 nucleotides in length. Their secondary structure includes four short double-helical elements and three loops (D, anti-codon, and T loops). RNAcentral also lists the same sequence under 4 other names. Lineage: Eukaryota; Metazoa; Chordata; Mammalia; Artiodactyla; Bovidae. The record is from Rfam by way of RNAcentral.